Long non-coding RNA from Quercus robur (English oak), 527 nucleotides. RefSeq lists it as uncharacterized. The transcript is spliced from 2 exons. Lineage: Eukaryota; Viridiplantae; Streptophyta; Magnoliopsida; Fagales; Fagaceae. The record is from RefSeq and is a predicted model, not a curated record.
ACUCUCUUGCUCUCAUUUUCUACGGGUACACACACAAAUCAUAAUUUCUCACUCACUUUGCUCUCUUUUUCUCUUAAGGAAAGAGGUAGGAAGCUCCCUUGAGUCUUUCUCUCAAUUCCACCAGUUCAUAUACCAAAAGAAAGACAAGACUUAUCUCAUUUCUUAUUCACACUUUCUCAAAGAAACUAGAAGACUCAAAAACUCUCUCAAGCUCUCUACCUCUCAUAGUUUCGGGUCCAGCCACUAGGAAAGGGAAAUCCUUUCAUGCAAGAGUGAUUUAUUUCUAUUUUCCCUCAAGAACCAUAAAAUUGGUUUUAUUUUUAGAGUAGAGGGAGCCUUUUCGAGUUUUGGAAGGAGCUGGUUUUAGUUUUAUAUGUAUAGAUCCUAAAUUAGUAUUGGAUGUUUAGAUUGUAGUAUAGUGUAUUUUAGGAUCUAAUGAAAGUGUGUACCUUAAAGUAUUAAGAGAUGUAUUAUGUGAAAUUUAGAAUUUGAAUAACUAGUGGAUUGUGUUAUCCUUUGAAGUAAAA